This 330-nucleotide ribosomal RNA is filed under the name uncultured bacterium. RNAcentral describes it as "bacterial SSU rRNA". It matches the Rfam family "Bacterial small subunit ribosomal RNA", at positions 27 to 349 of the family's 1533-position model. The record is from RNAcentral.
GAAUCAACGCUGGCGGCGUGCCUCAGACAUGCAAGUCGAACGAUUAAAGCUCUCUUCGGAGAGUGCAUAGAGUGGCGCACGGGUGAGUAACACGUAAGUAAUCUACCCUCGGAGUGGGGAAUAACGUCCGGAAACGGACGCUAAUACCGCAUAAUGCAGCGGCAUCGCAAGAUGACAGUUGUUAAAGGAGCAAUCCGCUUGAAGNGGAGCUUGCGGCAGAUUAGCUAGUUGGUAAGGUAAUGGCUUACCAAGGCAACGAUCUGUAACCGACCUGAGAGGGUGGUCGGGUCACACUGACACUGAAUAACGGGUCAGACUCCUACGGGAGGC